UGGCCAUCCAGUCCUUGACAUGGUAA
RNAcentral lists this non-coding RNA (26 nucleotides) under Homo sapiens (human). Lineage: Eukaryota; Metazoa; Chordata; Mammalia; Primates; Hominidae. The record is from RNAcentral.